RNAcentral lists this ribosomal RNA (553 nucleotides) under uncultured bacterium. Its description in RNAcentral is "partial 16S ribosomal RNA". It matches the Rfam family "Bacterial small subunit ribosomal RNA", at positions 355 to 899 of the family's 1533-position model. The record is from RNAcentral.
UGGGGAAUAUUGGACAAUGGGGGGAACCCUGAUCCAGCCAUGCCGCGUGUGUGAAGAAGGCCUUAUGGUUGUAAAGCACUUUAAGCGAGGAGGAGGCUACUAGUAUUAAUACUACUGGAUAGUGGACGCUACUCGCAGAAUAAGCACCGGCUAACUCUGUGCCAGCAGCCGCAGUAAUACAGAGGGUGCGAGCGUUAAUCGGAUUUACUGGGCGUAAAGCGUGCGUAGGCGGCCAUUUAAGUCAAAUGUGAAAUCCCCGAGCUUAACUUGGGAAUUGCAUUCGAUACUGGAUGGCUAGAGUAUGGGAGAGGAUGGUAGAAUUCCAGGUGUAGCGGUGAAAUGCGUAGAGAUCUGGAGGAAUACCGAUGGCGAAGGCAGCCAUCUGGCCUAAUACUGACGCUGAGGUACGAAAGCAUGGGGAGCAAACAGGAUUAGAUACCCUGGUAGUCCAUGCCGUAAACGAUGUCUACUAGCCGUUGGGGCCUUUGAGGCUUUAGUGGCGCAGCUAACGCGAUAAGUAGACCGCCUGGGGAGUACGGUCGCAAGACUAAAA